Molecule: RNA transcript, 1344 nt
Organism: Quercus lobata
Lineage: Eukaryota; Viridiplantae; Streptophyta; Magnoliopsida; Fagales; Fagaceae
Gene name: histone acetyltransferase of the MYST family 1-like
Exons: 7
Source: RefSeq, a predicted model, not a curated record
UACAAGCUUGAAAAUGACACGCCACCAGAAGCGAAAGAUUGACGAGACACAUGUAGAGGGUCAUGAAGAGCUUGAUGCUGCCAGCUUGCGAGAACAUGAAGAGUUCACAAAAGUGAAAAAUAUAGCAACUAUAGAGCUUGGAAGAUAUGAGAUCGAGACUUGGUACUUUCCACCGGAAUACAAUGAUCGUGUGAAGUUGUACUUCUGUGAGUUUUGCCUCAAUUUCAUGAAGCGUAAAGAACAACUUCAGAGGCAUAUGAGGAAGUGUGAUCUCAAGCAUCCCCCUGGAGAUGAGAUAUACUGAUGUGGUACAUUGUCAAUGUUUGAGGUUGAUGGCAAAAAGAACAAGGUUUAUGGGCAGAAUCUUUGUUUUUUGGCAAAAUUGUUUCUUGAUCACAAGACCCUCUAUUAUGACGUUGACCUCUUUCUGUUCUAUGUAUUGUGUGAAUGCGAUGAUCGAGGAUGACACAUGGUUGGUUAUUUUUCUAAGGAAAAACAUUCAGAGGAGUCUUAUAAUUUAGCAUGUAUCCUCACCCUUCCUCCCUAUCAAAGGAAAGGCUAUGGCAAAUUUCUAAUUGCCUUUUCUUAUGAACUUUCCAAAAAAGAAGGUAAAGUCGGCACACCUGAAAGACCCCUUUCUGAUCUUGGGCUAUUGAGCUACAGAGGAUACUGGACCCGGGUUCUUUUGGACAUAUUGAAAAAGCACAAGGGAAAUAUUUCUAUCAAGGAACUUAGUGACAUGACAGCCAUUAAGGCGGAGGAUAUCCUGGCCACCCUUCAGAGCUUAGAACUGAUUCAGUACAGGAAAGGGCAGCAUGUCAUCUGUGCUGAUCCAAAGGUCUUGGAUCGUCAUCUAAAAGCUGCUGGUCGUGGGGGUCUUGAGGUUGAUGUUAGCAAAUUGAUAUGGACUCCUUAUAAAGAACAAGGUUGAUGUCAAACAAUUUAUCCAGAUACUGGCUGCCAACUUAGACUUGUAACUGACCUCCGAUUGUAUAAAAUAUAAGCUUGAGGGUAUGAAACUGAGUAUUCUUCCUGGAGACUUUCUUGUCAUUAUCCAUCUUAUGACUUUGUAUGUAUGUAUCAACAAAUAAUGAUUAGUAUAUUCUUACUUUAGUAGGUGUAGGCUACAACUGACUUUUUGAUUUUAGAUUUGUGAACUACUUGUUCAGAUGCAUUGUAAUGCUCUUCUGAUGAUGAGACAAAAUGACAAAAAAUUGGGAAGGUGAUCCGUGAGAAUGGAUAAGAUUGAAUUGCCAUCUCUUUGAAAAUGUUUUGUAAAACCAAACGUCUGAGAUCAUUUUAGGCAUAAUUUAUAUCAUCCUUCUUACUUAUGAGUGAAGUAUC